RNAcentral lists this transfer RNA (70 nucleotides) under Gymnura poecilura (longtail butterfly ray). RNAcentral describes it as "tRNA-Phe". It matches the Rfam family "tRNA". Rfam says of the family: Transfer RNA (tRNA) molecules are approximately 80 nucleotides in length. Their secondary structure includes four short double-helical elements and three loops (D, anti-codon, and T loops). Lineage: Eukaryota; Metazoa; Chordata; Chondrichthyes; Myliobatiformes; Gymnuridae. The record is from RNAcentral.
GCUAGUGUAGCUUAAGCUUAAAGCAUGGCACUGAAGAUGCCAAGAUAAAAUUUAAACCCUUUCACAAGCA